This 2547-nucleotide long non-coding RNA is filed under the name Nicotiana benthamiana. RNAcentral describes it as "long non-coding RNA (NBEN_LNC030711)". The record is from RNAcentral. Lineage: Eukaryota; Viridiplantae; Streptophyta; Magnoliopsida; Solanales; Solanaceae.
UUUUGCAAUGAAACUGUUGCUAGUACGAUGCUGUACAAAAGGACGCUCCGUGAUUUGAUUUCCUCAUUCUACAACUAUUACAAAUUCCCAAGUCUAUUUCAAUGAGGAAAUGCAGUAAUACAGAAGAAAAAGAAACAGAACAGUUUUAGUCCCAUCUGCGGCAAUCCAACUGCAGAGUCUCACACAAUUUAGCAUUGAAAAUGGAAUAUAACAAGAGAACAUCUCAGAGGCCUAUAGGCCAAUAAUAACAUGUAGCAUGUCUUAUUUAAAGAGACAGAGCAAUGUAAAAAGGCAGGUGAAGUUGAUAUUAUAAGUAGACACUAGUUUACUUCCACUUCUUGAAUUUGCCUCCGAACAUCCCGCCCUUGCCAUGCUUUCCGUGCUUUCCGUGCUUGAAUUUCCCAUGCUUGCCAUGCUUAAACUUGCCUCCAUAAUGACCACCUCCAUAAUGACCGCCUCCAUAGUGAGCAGCACCGUGUGCCAUGUGAGAUCCACUUCCGUGUGCCAGGUGAUGAGCACCAUAGGCAGCAGCAGCAGAAACUUGCCAUGCUUUCCGUGCUUGAAUUUCCCAUGCUUGCCAUGCUUAAACUUGCCUCCAUAAUGACCGCCUCCGUGUCCAUAGUGAGCAGCACCGUGUGCGAUGUGAGAUCCACUUCCGUGUGCCAGGUGAUGAGCACCAUAGGCAGCAGCUGCAGCUGCAGCACCUCCGGCUAACAUCGCCCCCAUGCCCCCAUGACCUGAAAUGUAACAAGCAACGAAAGGGUAAAAAAUACCAUCAACAAUGAAAGAAAAUGUCAAAAAGUAUUUGGUCACAAAUAGCUAGCUAUUAUGCAGCACUGUUAGAAUUGCAUGUACUCUGUUUCAGUGCUCACAACAUAUAAACUGUUCUUGCCAUAUUUGUGCAUCUAGUUGUAAAAGAGAUUCAAAGAACUUUAACUAGACAAAUCCAACAUAUUGUGCACUUGGUAUAGUUACAGCUUUCUAUUAUUCAUUGGGGCCUAAAUAAAUCAGUUCCAAAGAUAAUACCUGAUUGGUGUGGAGGACCAUGGUGACCACCAGCGGGAGGAUAUCCUUGUGGAGGAUAUCCGGCAGGUGGGUAUCCUCCUCCAUGUGGAGGAUAACCCUGAGGAGGAUAUCCUUGAGGAGGAUACCCUUGUUGCGGAGGGUAAGCACCAGGCGGUGGAGGGUACUGCCCCGGUGGAUAUCCAUGACCAGAAGAAUGACCGGUCAUACCGGGUAUAAGAUGGGAAAAGAGUCCCUUAUCAGACCCAUCCUGUCCACCUCCCAUAUUUCACUACUAGUACCUGUUACAUGCCAAACAUAUUACAACAAUGUCAAAUUCAAAAUAAAAUGAAAUUUGCAGAAGAUAGAGAAUAUGACCCACAAGGAAAUCAAAUUGUAACUCCCUUUCAACUUUGAAACCUAUAAUCCUUUCUCAAACAUCAAUCAGUCAAAACGGGAUACAAGAUAGCACACAAACGGUUAUAGAAAAAGGGUCACAGGAUAUACAGUAAGCACUCUAAAACAUGAUAAGCUACUAUUGGGGAAAAGGAGAAAGGGGGAGAGGGGGGGUGGGGGGAUAGCUAAAAAAGUAGGUGAAAAUGCAAAAUUUAACACGACAAGUUAUAACCAAAAUUGCAGGAAGCCAGCAAAUAUGUUGUGAGCCAAAGCUACUGCAAGAAACAGGAGGAGGGUACGCAUUAACAUUCUUUUGUGUGGAUUUCUACGAAGUACCAUUCUCUCCAUCAAAUUCAAAACUCAGAUCCAUCAUAUUUUAUUAAAUUUUCAGAUCACCUUUAGGAAAACCAAGCCAACACCUCUUAAAGACUAGAAAAGCAAAGAUUCCCCCACCCAUUUUUUGGAUAAGUUAGAAAUAUCAAAGGUUAAAGCAAUUCAGUUUAUAAUUUGAGGAAAAUGCGAAGGAUUUUGUUUGUGCGUGGUUUUUUUUUGGGGGGUGAGGGAGGGGAAGGAAGUAAAGCAGAAGACACUAAAAUAUACUAAUGACGCAAAAGGAGCUACAGCCAAAGAUUCAUUCAUUUUUGAUUUGCUGAAUAUAAUCUAGGUUACAUGGCCACACUUUUGUCGUACACAUCAAAAAGACAAACCCCCCAUAAAAUAGUCUCUAUUUCUUAAAUACAAAAUCAUGCAAAAGGACAGUCAUCAUCUUCAAAAGCAUCCAAAUUCAGUUUCAGAAUAGGACAAUUCUCAACCCAAAAGCAGAAAAAAACGAAUAGUCGAAGUUGAUCUAUCUAAUCUCUAUUUGAUGAUCAUACAACAAACAAAAGCUCAAGAAAUCAAACCCUCUGAUCUCCAUUUGACCAAACGCAAAUCAAGAACAUAUCAAACACAAAGGGUAUAAAAGAUCAAACUUGUAAAAUAAACAGAUGUUAUGUUUCAGAGUCGUGAUCAACUGGGUAAUUCAGAUCCAAUUUGAUCAUUCAUGUAUGACAGAAGUAAAAAAGGGGAAGAAUGGUUCUUACAGAUUUUCUUUGUUGAGCGAAUGUUAACAAAGUUUUUCGAAUGAAGAUUUCCAAAGAGUGGAUAUGG